GAUGAACGCUGGCGGCGUGCCUAAUACAUGCAAGUCGAGCGAACAGAUGAGGAGCUUGCUCCUCUGACGUUAGCGGCGGACGGGUGAGUAACACAUGGAUAACCUACCUAUAAGACUGGGAUAACUUCGGGAAACCGGAGCUAAUACCGGAUAAUAUAUUGAACCGCAUGGUUCAAUAGUGAAAGACGGUUUUGCUGUCACUUAUAGAUGGAUCCGCGCCGCAUUAGCUAGUUGGUAAGGUAACGGCUUACCAAGGCAACGAUGCGUAGCCGACCUGAGAGGGUGAUCGGCCACACUGGAACUGAGACACGGUCCAGACUCCUACGGGAGGCAGCAGUAGGGAAUCUUCCGCAAUGGGCGAAAGCUUGACGGAGCAACGCCGCGUGAGUGAUGAAGGUCUUCGGAUCGUAAAACUCUGUUAUUAGGGAAGAACAAAUGUGUAAGUAACUAUGCACGUCUUGACGGUACCUAAUCAGAAAGCCACGGCUAACUACGUG
This 497-nucleotide ribosomal RNA is filed under the name uncultured bacterium. RNAcentral describes it as "partial 16S ribosomal RNA". It matches the Rfam family "Bacterial small subunit ribosomal RNA", at positions 28 to 507 of the family's 1533-position model. The record is from RNAcentral.